AAGUCGUAACAAGGUUUCCGUAGGUGAACCUGCGGAAGGAUCAUUACAGAGAACCUCGCCCUUCUGGGUGAAUCUCCAACCCUAUGUUAUACUACUUUGUUGCUUUGGCGAGCCGCUUAGGCCACCGGCUUACGCUGGUGAGUGCUCGCCAGAGAACCCUAAACUCUAAGUUAUUAGUGUCGUCUGAGUACUAUAAAAUAGUUAAAACUUUCAACAACGGAUCUCUUGGUUCUG
Molecule: unclassified non-coding RNA, 234 nt
Filed under: air metagenome
Description: partial contains small subunit ribosomal RNA, internal transcribed spacer 1, and 5.8S ribosomal RNA
Rfam family: Eukaryotic small subunit ribosomal RNA (bases 1-46)
Source: RNAcentral